GAAAUGCGAUAAGUAAUGUGAAUUGCAGAAUUCAGUGAAUCAUCGAAUCUUUGAACGCACAUUGCGCCCGCCAGUAUUCUGGCGGGCAUGCCUGUCCGAGCGUCAUUUCAACCAUCAAGCCCCCGGGCUUGUGUUGGGGACCUGCGGCUGCCCGCAGGCCCUGAAAACCAGUGGCAGGCUCGCUGUCACACCGAGCGUAGUAGCAAUCACCUCGCUCAGGGCGUGCUGCGGGUUCCGGCCGUUAAACAGCCUUACAAAACCCAAGGUUGACCUCGGAUCAGGUAGGAACACCCGCUGCACUUGAGC
RNAcentral lists this unclassified non-coding RNA (306 nucleotides) under plant metagenome. RNAcentral's name for it is "partial contains 5.8S ribosomal RNA, internal transcribed spacer 2, and large subunit ribosomal RNA". The stretch from base 1 to 105 matches the Rfam family "5.8S ribosomal RNA", at positions 50 to 154 of the family's 154-position model. The record is from RNAcentral.